AUCCGGAAACGGGUGCUAAUACCGCAUAGUUUCUUGAUCGCAUGAUCGGGAAAGGAAAGACGGCCUUUGUGCUGUCGCUUAUGGAUGGACCCGCGGCGUAUUAGGUUAGUUGGUGAGGUAACGGCUCACCAAGACGAUGAUACGUAGCCGACCUGAGAGGGUGAUCGGCCACAUUGGGACUGAGACACGGCCCAAACUCCUACGGGAGGCAGCAGUAGGGAAUCUUCCGCAAUGGACGAAAGUCUGACGGAGCAACGGCCGCGUGAGUGAAGAAAAGGGUUUUUCGGAUCGUAAAACUCUGUUGUCAGAGAAGAACAAGUUUGGAGAGUAACUGCUCCAGCCUUGACGGUAUCUGACCAGAAAGCCACGGCUAACUACGUGCCAGCCGCUGC
This 392-nucleotide ribosomal RNA is filed under the name uncultured bacterium. Its description in RNAcentral is "bacterial SSU rRNA". It matches the Rfam family "Bacterial small subunit ribosomal RNA", at positions 148 to 518 of the family's 1533-position model. The record is from RNAcentral.